This 1125-nucleotide ribosomal RNA is filed under the name Bacillus amyloliquefaciens. RNAcentral's name for it is "bacterial SSU rRNA". It matches the Rfam family "Bacterial small subunit ribosomal RNA", at positions 31 to 1149 of the family's 1533-position model. Lineage: Bacteria; Bacillati; Bacillota; Bacilli; Caryophanales; Bacillaceae. The record is from RNAcentral.
GAAAAGUGGCGGAGUGCUAUACAUGCAAGUCGAGCGGACAGAUGGGAGCUUGCUCCCUGAUGUUAGCGGCGGACGGGUGAGUAACACGUGGGUAACCUGCCUGUAAGACUGGGAUAACUCCGGGAAACCGGGGCUAAUACCGGAUGGUUGUUUGAACCGCAUGGUUCAGACAUAAAAGGUGGCUUCGGCUACCACUUACAGAUGGACCCGCGGCGCAUUAGCUAGUUGGUGAGGUAACGGCUCACCAAGGCGACGAUGCGUAGCCGACCUGAGAGGGUGAUCGGCCACACUGGGACUGAGACACGGCCCAGACUCCUACGGGAGGCAGCAGUAGGGAAUCUUCCGCAAUGGACGAAAGUCUGACGGAGCAACGCCGCGUGAGUGAUGAAGGUUUUCGGAUCGUAAAGCUCUGUUGUUAGGGAAGAACAAGUGCCGUUCAAAUAGGGCGGCACCUUGACGGUACCUAACCAGAAAGCCACGGCUAACUACGUGCCAGCAGCCGCGGUAAUACGUAGGUGGCAAGCGUUGUCCGGAAUUAUUGGGCGUAAAGGGCUCGCAGGCGGUUUCUUAAGUCUGAUGUGAAAGCCCCCGGCUCAACCGGGGAGGGUCAUUGGAAACUGGGGAACUUGAGUGCAGAAGAGGAGAGUGGAAUUCCACGUGUAGCGGUGAAAUGCGUAGAGAUGUGGAGGAACACCAGUGGCGAAGGCGACUCUCUGGUCUGUAACUGACGCUGAGGAGCGAAAGCGUGGGGAGCGAACAGGAUUAGAUACCCUGGUAGUCCACGCCGUAAACGAUGAGUGCUAAGUGUUAGGGGGUUUCCGCCCCUUAGUGCUGCAGCUAACGCAUUAAGCACUCCGCCUGGGGAGUACGGUCGCAAGACUGAAACUCAAAGGAAUUGACGGGGGCCCGCACAAGCGGUGGAGCAUGUGGUUUAAUUCGAAGCAACGCGAAGAACCUUACCAGGUCUUGACAUCCUCUGACAAUCCUAGAGAUAGGACGUCCCCUUCGGGGGCAGAGUGACAGUGUGCAUGAUGUCGUCAGCUCGUGUCGUGAGAUGUUGGUUAGUCCCGCACGAGCGCAACCCUUGAUCUAGUGCCAGCAUUCAGUUGGGCACUCUAAGGUGAC